Molecule: transfer RNA, 64 nt
Filed under: Hoplopleura sp.
Lineage: Eukaryota; Metazoa; Arthropoda; Insecta; Psocodea; Hoplopleuridae
Description: tRNA-Tyr
Source: RNAcentral
AGAUAGGUGACUGAGUAGUAAGUGGAGCACUGUAAAUGCUCAUAUGGCGAUUAGCCCCUACCUG